Molecule: transfer RNA, 132 nt
Filed under: Maridesulfovibrio ferrireducens
Lineage: Bacteria; Pseudomonadati; Thermodesulfobacteriota; Desulfovibrionia; Desulfovibrionales; Desulfovibrionaceae
Description: tRNA-Ser
Source: RNAcentral
GACGGGUAGUGGUGAGAAAACGGGUGAAAAAUAAGGUGAUGGGGCGUUAAUGUGUGAUGAUACAGGAUUUAUUCACAAUUUACAGGAUUCCUAAUCCUGGUGCCGCAGGUUCGAUUCCUGCCGGGGUCACCA